Molecule: long non-coding RNA, 697 nt
Filed under: Physcomitrium patens
Lineage: Eukaryota; Viridiplantae; Streptophyta; Bryopsida; Funariales; Funariaceae
Description: long non-coding RNA (PPAT_LNC008767)
Source: RNAcentral
AUUUGAGUUAAGAUCAACGGUUUAUUCAUUAGUUAUUGAGGUUUAAUUCUAUUGUAGAAAUUACUAUGGUUUAGUUAGGAUUUGAUUUAGGAUUAGGAUUUGAUUAGGAUUUGAUUUAGGAUUAGGAUUUGGUUAAGAUUGGAUUUAGGAUUUAAGAUUAGGAUUAGGGCUUGAUUAGGAUUUGAUUUAGAAUUAAGAUUUGGUUAGAAUUUGGUUAGGGUUUGAUUUAGGAUUAGGAUUUGGUUAGGCUUUGAUUUAGAAUUAAGAUUUGGUUAGAGUUUGGUUAAGGUUUGAUUUAGGAUUAGGAUUUGGUUUAGGGUUUAGGAUUUGGUUAGGAUUUGAUUUAAGAUUAGGAUUUGAUUUAGAGGUGGUUAGGAUUUAUUUUAGGGUUAGGGUUUGAUUAGGGUUUGAUUCAGGGUGAGGAUUUGGUUAGGAUUUGGUUAGGAUUUGAUUUAGGAUUUAGGAUUUGGUUUAAGAUUUAAGGUUUGAUUAGAAUUUAAGAUUUAGUUAGUUUUUGGCCUAAAGUUUGAAUGAAGUAAGAUUUCAACUAGGAUUAAAUUAAAAUUAAAUUGAGAUAUAUUUGAGAUACAUUUGUAAUCAUUCUAAUAUUUCUUUAAGAUUUCUUAUUGUUUCUUUGGAAUUCCUUUGAAGUUUCUCUGAAUUUGAUUAAAGCUUGUUUAGCAUUGUUAGUGUUCUA